RNAcentral lists this long non-coding RNA (250 nucleotides) under Mytilus galloprovincialis (Mediterranean mussel). The record is from RNAcentral. Lineage: Eukaryota; Metazoa; Mollusca; Bivalvia; Mytilida; Mytilidae.
CAAAUCACUUGUGUUUACAAUGUCCUACCAAAUUUCUAUAAACGUUAUGCAUUCCUCUCAUAAACAAAAAGGAAAAAGACACCAUGGAUUAAUCAAACUACAUCAUUCAAGAAGAAACAGUCAACACCAUGGAAAAAAGUAAAAGAAAGAAGACGAAAAAACGAAUAACAGUUCAGAAAACAAUACACAGAAGACUAAAAUGAGCAACACGAAUCCUACCAAAAAGUUGGGGUGAACUUAGACAGAAUGC